UGUGAGCUCGAUGAGUAGGGCGGGACACGUGGUAUCCUGUCUGAAUAUGGGGGGACCAUCCUCCAAGGCUAAAUACUCCUGACUGACCGAUAGUGAACCAGUACCGUGAGGGAAAGGCGAAAAGAACCCCGGCGAGGGGAGUGAAAAAGAACCUGAAACCGUGUACGUACAAGCAGUGGGAGCCUCUUAAUGGGGUGACUGCGUACCUUUUGUAUAAUGGGUCAGCGACUUAUAUUCUGUAGCAAGGUUAACCGAAUAGGGGAGCCGAAGGGAAACCGAGUCUUAACUGGGCGUUAAGUUGCAGGGUAUAGACCCGAAACCCGGUGAUCUAGCCAUGGGCAGGUUGAAGGUUGGGUAACACUAACUGGAGGACCGAACCGACUAAUGUUGAAAAAUUAGCGGAUGACUUGUGGCUGGGGGUGAAAGGCCAAUCAAACCGGGAGAUAGCUGGUUCUCCCCGAAAGCUAUUUAGGUAGCGCCUCGUGAAUUCAUCUCCGGGGGUAGAGCACUGUUUCGGCAAGGGGGUCAUCCCGACUUACCAACCCGAUGCAAACUGCGAAUACCGGAGAAUGUUAUCACGGGAGACACACGGCGGGUGCUAACGUCCGUCGUGAAGAGGGAAACAACCCAGACCGCCAGCUAAGGUCCCAAAGUCAUGGUUAAGUGGGAAACGAUGUGGGAAGGCCCAGACAGCCAGGAUGUUGGCUUAGAAGCAGCCAUCAUUUAAAGAAAGCGUAAUAGCUCACUGGUCGAGUCGGCCUGCGCGGAAGAUGUAACGGGGCUAAACCAUGCACCGAAGCUGCGGCAGCGACACUAUGUGUUGUUGGGUAGGGGAGCGUUCUGUAAGCCUGUGAAGGUGUACUGUGAGGUAUGCUGGAGGUAUCAGAAGUGCGAAUGCUGACAUAAGUAACGAUAAAGCGGGUGAAAAGCCCGCUCGCCGGAAGACCAAGGGUUCCUGUCCAACGUUAAUCGGGGCAGGGUGAGUCGACCCCUAAGGCGAGGCCGAAAGGCGUAGUCGAUGGGAAACAGGUUAAUAUUCCUGUACUUGGUGUUACUGCGAAGGGGGGACGGAGAAGGCUAUGUUGGCCGGGCGACGGUUGUCCCGGUUUAAGCGUGUAGGCUGGUUUUCCAGGCAAAUCCGGAAAAUCAAGGCUGAGGCGUGAUGACGAGGCACUACGGUGCUGAAGCAACAAAUGCCCUGCUUCCAGGAAAAGCCUCUAAGCAUCAGGUAACAUCAAAUCGUACCCCAAACCGACACAGGUGGUCAGGUAGAGAAUACCAAGGCGCUUGAGAGAACUCGGGUGAAGGAACUAGGCAAAAUGGUGCCGUAACUUCGGGAGAAGGCACGCUGAUAUGUAGGUGAAGCGACUUGCUCGUGGAGCUGAAAUCAGUCGAAGAUACCAGCUGGCUGCAACUGUUUAUUAAAAACACAGCACUGUGCAAACACGAAAGU
RNAcentral lists this ribosomal RNA (1453 nucleotides) under Escherichia coli. RNAcentral describes it as "partial 23S ribosomal RNA". It matches the Rfam family "Bacterial large subunit ribosomal RNA", at positions 398 to 1838 of the family's 2925-position model. Lineage: Bacteria; Pseudomonadati; Pseudomonadota; Gammaproteobacteria; Enterobacterales; Enterobacteriaceae. The record is from RNAcentral.